GAUGAACGCUGGCGGCGUGCCUAAUACAUGCAAGUCGAGCGAACAGACGAGGAGCUUGCUCCUCUGACGUUAGCGGCGGACGGGUGAGUAACACGUGGAUAACCUACCUAUAAGACUGGGAUAAAUUCGGGAAACCGGAGCUAAUACCGGAUAAUAUAUUGAACCGCAUGGUUCAAUAGUGAAAGACGGUUUUGCUGUCACUUAUAGAUGGAUCCGCGCCGCAUUAGCUAGUUGGUAAGGUAACGGCUUACCAAGGCGACGAUGCGUAGCCGGCCUGAGAGGAUGAUCGGCCACACUGGAACUGAGACACGGUCCAGACUCCUACGGGAGGCAGCAGUAGGGAAUCUUCCACAAUGGGCGAAAGCCUGACGGAGCAACGCCGCGUGAGUGAUGAAGGUCUUCGGAUCGUAAAACUCUGUUAUUAGGGAAGAACAAAUGUGUAAGUAACUAGGCACGUCUUGACGGUACCUAAUCAGAAAGCCACGGCUAACUACGUG
This 497-nucleotide ribosomal RNA is filed under the name uncultured bacterium. RNAcentral's name for it is "partial 16S ribosomal RNA". It matches the Rfam family "Bacterial small subunit ribosomal RNA", at positions 28 to 507 of the family's 1533-position model. The record is from RNAcentral.